Molecule: long non-coding RNA, 2060 nt
Filed under: Vitis vinifera (wine grape)
Lineage: Eukaryota; Viridiplantae; Streptophyta; Magnoliopsida; Vitales; Vitaceae
Description: long non-coding RNA (VVIN_LNC002438)
Source: RNAcentral
AUGCUGGUCGAUCCUUGCUCACAAGCUUCUUAGCCGGUUCAAUGAGCAAAUCGCCCUUAGGGUUGUAGAAGUAGGCUAGUGAGACGCGCUCUUUUAUGGAAUUCACGAUUACCCGAUGCUCCACGCUCUUGUAAAUUGCAUUGCUUAUCACCUGAUUAAUUGACCAUAAAAAAUAAUUAAUAUCUGAAUUUUGGAAAAUGUGUACAUGGAUGUGGGAGAGAGAGAGAGACGUGUACCUGAAUCUGAUCCCCAAGGUUGACAAUGAGAGCAUCUGGAAUAGGCUCAACAGUGACCCAGUGCUCGCCUUUACGGACUUGGAGGCCAGAAACGUCAUCAUCGGGGAGGAGAAUGGUCAUGCCACCGGGGUCGGAGUGAGGUGAAAUGCCGAGGGUGAGGUCUGGUUGUGGGCACUUGGGGUAGUAAUUCACCCUCAGGCAUGCCCCAACGUCAUCCCCUCCAAAUGCGUUUUGGAGAUGGUCCCCCUCUAGUCCAAGGUUCACCGAUAAAAUCUUCAUUAAAAUUCCACAUAGCUCAACCACAGCUUUGCUGUACUCGUGCACCAGUUCCCUGCAUUCAUUUCCAUCCAUUAACCCUUUUUUUUUUUUUUUUUGCCUUUACUACAUUUUCAAUAUUUAUAUAUUUUUGUUGUCAAAAAAUUCGAAAGAAAAUAUAAAGGAGAAGUAGAAGUAAAAUAAAAAAAAAUAGAUUAAAAAUUGAUAAAUUAUUUUUUUUAUUACUUCAAACUCAUUUUAUUUAUUUUAACUCAUUAAUAUAAAAAUUAAAUAAUUUAAAAAUAUAUAUUAAUUUUUAAUUAGUUUUAAUCAUAUUUUAUUUUUUAGAUAUUUUUCAUAGUACAACCAUGAAAAAAUUAUUUUUCUUUUCAUUUUUUUCUUUCCUUAAUAUUUUUUAGGAACCAAACAUAUUAGUCUCUCAUUCUGAGAGGCUUUUAAACUUUAAUAAAGGUCGAUUUUGACCGUAUUUGGAUGGGUUAGGUAUGACACUUUCCUAUAUAAAAUUUAAGCAUAUUUUUUAAAAGUAAUGAAAAUGUUUUAAUAAAAAUAUUUUUCAAACAUAAAAUUCAAUAGUUAUUGUCCUAGAAAGAUCCUUUUUCUGCCCUUAUCAUCUCUAGAGGUUGCAAGUGGUGAUUAAAGAGAGAGAGAGAAAACUAAAAAAAGAAAAGUCUCAAAACCCUUUCUAUUUAUAUUUUGUGGGCCAAAUUGGAUUACAGAAUACCUAAAACUGAAAAAGGCACUUCUCAAAAUACUUUCUAUUUCUAUUUUGUGGGCCAAAUUAGAUUACACAGUACCCAAAACUUAAAAAAGGUCUUCCCAAUUGGGUUAACCUUCUUAAAUAUGAGGACCUCAAAUUGGUUACUAUUAUCAAAUGUUUAUCUUUUAAAAUAGUACACCAUUCUUACAAUACAUCAAACAAAAAUACACCUUAUUUUCAUUAAAUUAGAAAAUUAAUACUUUUUAAAUUUUUAUUUAUUAGAAAUUUAUUUGGUAAUUUUAGUAGAGAUAUUUUAAAAGACUCAAAAAAAAACACCAUGGUCAUGUUUAAACUGACUUUUUCAUAAAAACUUUUUUUUCAUUUUUUUGAUAAAAAAAAAAAAAAAGAUUUAAUAAUAUGCGUAUAAAUUCCAAAGCAAAAAAGGUCAUUCCGUACAUUUGGUGGAAUGGGUGGGGAAUGGGAGAAGAGUGGACAAGUAGGAUGCUGCUAUAUAUGAGAAGUGGAGCCCAAAGGUGGAGAUAGGAGGAUCUUAAACCACGAAUCACAACUCAUCUGCUUCACCAAGCACCAGGCCUACAUGUUGUAGGCUUGUAUAGCAGACAAACACGAAUACAAAUACCAAAUACAAUGUUUAAAACAAUCAAAAGUAGAUUUAAUUACCUGCAGGAUUCUGGAGUAGUAGGCCACUUGUUCUCAUCCCUUGCAGACUCCGGCAGAUAGUUCAGAAAGAAGUAGUCGCUCCAGUCGAGCUUCGCACCCUUCUCCACCCCGAGACGGCUCCCAUACCCUUCAUAUGUGGCGGGGGAGUUGGCGUACACCUGCUUCGCCUC